This 492-nucleotide ribosomal RNA is filed under the name uncultured bacterium. Its description in RNAcentral is "partial 16S ribosomal RNA". It matches the Rfam family "Bacterial small subunit ribosomal RNA", at positions 29 to 507 of the family's 1533-position model. The record is from RNAcentral.
AGUGAACGCUGGCGGUAGACCUAACACAUGCAAGUCGAACGGCAGCACAGUAAGAGCUUGCUCUUACGGGUGGCGAGUGGCGGACGGGUGAGGAAUACAUCGGAAUCUACUUUUUCGUGGGGGAUAACGUAGGGAAACUUACGCUAAUACCGCAUACGACCUACGGGUGAAAGCAGGGGAUCUUCGGACCUUGCGCGAUUGAAUGAGCCGAUGUCGGGUUAGCUAGUUGGCGGGGUAAAGGCCCACCAAGGCGACGAUCCGUAGCUGGUCUGAGAGGAUGAUCAGCCACACUGGAACUGAGACACGGACCAGACUCCUAAGGGAGGCAGCAGUGGGGAAUAUUGGACAAUGGGCGCAAGCCUGAUCCAGCCAUACCGCGUGGGUGAAGAAGGCCUUCGGGUUGUAAAGCCCUUUUGUUGGGAAAGAAAAGCAGCAGGUUAAUACCCCGCUGUUCUGACGGUACCCAAAGAAUAAGCACCGGCUAACUUCGUG